Molecule: transfer RNA, 76 nt
Filed under: Anaerolineae bacterium
Lineage: Bacteria; Bacillati; Chloroflexota; Anaerolineae
Also listed under: 1 other name
Description: tRNA-Arg
Rfam family: tRNA
About the family: Transfer RNA (tRNA) molecules are approximately 80 nucleotides in length. Their secondary structure includes four short double-helical elements and three loops (D, anti-codon, and T loops). Further hydrogen bonds mediate the characteristic L-shaped molecular structure. tRNAs have two regions of fundamental functional importance: the anti-codon, which is responsible for specific mRNA codon recognition, and the 3' end, to which the tRNAs corresponding amino acid is attached (by aminoacyl-tRNA synthetases). tRNAs cope with the degeneracy of the genetic code in two manners: having more than one tRNA (with a specific anti-codon) for a particular amino acid; and 'wobble' base-pairing, i.e. permitting non-standard base-pairing at the 3rd anti-codon position.
Source: RNAcentral
GCCCCCUUAGCUCAGUGGAUAGAGCGUUUGGUUGCGGACCAAAAGGCCGCGUGUUCGAAUCACGCAGGGGGCGCCA